Long non-coding RNA from Megalobrama amblycephala (Wuchang bream), 296 nucleotides. RefSeq lists it as uncharacterized. Lineage: Eukaryota; Metazoa; Chordata; Actinopteri; Cypriniformes; Xenocyprididae. The transcript is spliced from 2 exons. The record is from RefSeq and is a predicted model, not a curated record.
AUCCUUGAUUCACCACAUCAUCACAUGAUAUCUGAUUUGAGGCAUAAAUACUGCUGUCUGUAAGCGUAAGACAGCUGAAGUCUUUCAGGAGAACACAGAAAAUACGCCUCUUAUUGCUACCUGAAAAAUUAUACCCAAAUACUGGCACAAGAACACCCUUCCAAUGGAUUUACCAUCUGACCUGAAAACACUAGCAUCAUUAACCAUCUGCAAGCAAACCUUCUGGAAAAACAAUGCAAUCUGAAGCUUUUGCACUGCCUAUAGGGAGCAUAUGAAUAAAUAAUAGAGUCAUCUGA